CUCCACCGGCUUUCCGCAGUUAAUCACGAAGGUCGCUCCUUUCUUCUUCCCCUUGGCUCCGGCCGCUCCUCUUGUCCCUUUACUCAUCUUCGCUUUUCUUCUCUGAAAUUAAAUAAGCAAUUUUUAGAUACUUAACAAUAAUAUAUUUCAUACAAUAUGCAGAUAUAUACAUACAUACGUAUGUGAAUAUAGAGAGAGGAGCUCUUACCAGAUUGGACAUUAAAACGGCCGACUGCAACUGAAUAUGUGAUGUUUAUGAAGAAAAAGGAGGAGACUAUCGAUCUACUGUAAGAGAGCAAGAGAGAGAGAGAAAGGAGGAGGAGGUCGCUGGCGAGGGAGCGUCGGAGAGACGAAGGGACGAGGGUUUGUCGCCGCUGCUGCUAGAGAGAGAAAAUGGGAGAGAAAGAAUGAGAGGAAGAAACGAGAGAGAAGAAAGUACUCC
RNAcentral lists this long non-coding RNA (442 nucleotides) under Panax ginseng (ginseng). RNAcentral's name for it is "long non-coding RNA (PGIN_LNC012131)". The record is from RNAcentral. Lineage: Eukaryota; Viridiplantae; Streptophyta; Magnoliopsida; Apiales; Araliaceae.